AUCAGUCUGGGGGGGACCCGGGCGGGGGGCGUUGGGGAAGCCGCGGCCUGGACCGGGACCCACAGCGGCGGCUCCACCUGGGGCAGGGCUCUGACCCGCACUCGGCCUGCGGUGUGCACGUCUAGUAGGAGACAAUCACUAAUUGCCUGCUGACUAGAUCGUCAAACAAAAUUCUGAUGACCAGCUGGCUCUAAUUAUUGUCAUUCCUUUGCAGACAGGCAGAGAGCAGGGAGCAGGAGAGGGAGACACAGACUCCUCAAGCACACUCGGCCCCAAGCGCAGAGCCUGCCAGGGGCGGGUUCCCAGGAUGCUGAGGCCAUGACCUGAGCCACAACCAAGAGUCAGAUGCUAAGUGACAGAGCCGCAGGCGUCAAGCCCCGUGUUCCUGCUGUGGGCACUCCUGCCUUCCCCCCCCCCCCCGCAGCCACUGAGAGCUCGGGCUUUGGUCUGCGCUCCAACUCCCAGGUGGUCUGGAGGCUACAGUGCAGGCUGCACGUCUCCUCUGUCCCACCUCAGGCUGAAAGGGCCUCAGCCCUGAGAAGGAAUCAGAUCUGCCCAACCACCCCCAGCCGGAGGGAGCUGCUGGAGCAGCAGGUAGAAGAACUGGUGCCUGCCUUGCUGCGCUUGGACAAUCCGUUCCUAUUUGAAUUCCUAAAUGUUUUGGAGGUAUAUGGCACCCCUGAAGAGGUGCUGGACCUGCUGUUUGCAAAGUGAGCACCCUGACUCCACAGCCCAGGGGGAUGGGCCACCUACUUGUUGGGAGUCUUGGGGAAUGUUCCUGCCUUCCCGGCCCCUGGGGCUGCUCCUCCGACUGGAGUAGAGUCACGCAGGGCCUAGUCGGGUCCCGCAGGGCAGCCCCCGGGCCUGGCCUGUGACAGGUCGGCUAGAGGGGCUGUGCUUGUGCUCAGCAGUCGUCGUUCUGUCCCCAUGACGAAGCCUGUGCCGCCUCCCCACCAUCACCAGGGUCUUGAGCUGGCCUGUUUUACCAUGGAAAGGGAGUUUUGAGUCCAUCUGGGGUCUGUAUCCUGGGGCAUUCGCAGUAGGGGUCCCCGGGGACACCGGGGCGCCCAGGCCCACUUGGAUAUCGGCCAUGGGCCUGGCCGGAGCCCUUUCAUUCCUCAAGCAUUCAGGAAGCGCCAGCAGGUGCAGGUGCUUCUCCAGGAGCUGCCCAUGACCCCACGCACAGAGCUGACGGCCCCCCAGGGCUCCGGACUAGUCAGAGGUCAGAGGGUGACAGCAGCUAUGAGGAGAGAUCGGGUCCACAGGAGGAUUCCUGUGAUGCCCCCGCCCUCCUCUGGAUAUCGAUGCAUUGUAGCUUCCUGCAAGAAGGAAGGAAUCCUGGACCAGUGGGAAAUGUGAGUGAGCCCUGGCUCAUGCAGGGGAGCCUUCCCUCUCCAGGAGGGCCGCGAGGGGGCUGUGGGCUGGAGGGGCUGCUGGACCCUCACCCCACAAGUCUGCAAUUCCUGUGACAGGGUGAAGGUCUAAUGGGUCCUUUGAGAAAAGAGGAAAGGAGAGCUGUGGAUGGGAUACGGGCUUUGUGGGAGAGCACUGGGACCUCUAAUGGAGUCCUUCUCCACACCUGCCCCCUUCAAAGCCCUCUGUCUCCCCGCCACCUGGGACCCAGAGCAGAGGGUGUGGGGAGCAUCGCACUCACCAAUCUGGUGGCACCUGGACCCAGGUGCACGGCAGGUGCUCAGGAGGGCCAGUGAGUGCUCACGGACCAGACGGCCCCCGCCCCGUGGGAGAUUAGAGUCAGUGGAAGGACACCCCCUGGGGGCCCCUCGUGAGUGAGGCAGGGCAGACCCACGGGAGGGAAGGUUCCCCGGGAAAGACAGUGAUGGUCACGCCGCUGGUCAUGGGCUCCCACGCACAGAGGCUUCGUGCCAGCCCUUCCUCAGUGAGCAGGGCUGUGGCAGGCAGGACCACCAGGUGGCAGGUGGACAAGGAGCAGCACUGGCCUCCAACAGCCCCAUGUGGGAGGCCGAGGGCCCCAGUUCCUGCAGGGCUUCCCCAGGACACCUUGGUGUGAGGGAGCCCUGUCAUCCAAUGCCUCUGCCCAUCCGUACCUCCAGCUCCAUCUCCUGCAUCCUGGACAUCUGGCUGGACUACUUUCGGGAGGAUUUCAUCAGCCACCGGAAUUUCUCUCCCUGAGGAAGCUGCUGGCAUUCAUGGGGCUCAACACGCCAGGCUCAGACCUGGAAAACCGGGCCCAACGUUACCUGGAGCUCGUGGAAUUAGACGAUGAGGAUGAGGAGGACUGGGGUGGCCGAGCUGGGGACAGGAUGGGCCACACAGACCCAGCCUCCAUGCAGCUGGGCCGGGAGCACAGGGUAGGCUCACACCCCAUCCCCAUGGGCUGCAGUUUGGGGAGACCUCCCAGGGCUCUUGCACUCACACACCUUGAAUGGUGGGAAGAGUGUCCUUGAUUUGAGAGGGACGUGGAAAGUGUGUCCUGGUGAUGAUACUUUGUCUUCUUGGGGCUAUAGCUUCGGACCCCGAGCAACACCCUGAACCACCUCAGGAGCCCACCCCAGCUCUGACUGUGGGGCCUGCUGAAGCUUCUGGGCCUGAUCUGUUCAAGCCGGGAAUGGCUGCUAGAGCUGAGUGUAUUGCCCGAGUCAAGAUGCAAGCUGCUGAGUCAAAGCCAAUGCACGUGGUGGUCAAACCUUUGACUCAGUGUCCCGACUUGGAGGAGCCACCUGCACCCUUGGCUGACCUGGAUGAGGAGCAGGCCCCAGAGCCUGCAAUCAAGCUCCUGGAAGUGCCGGAGCAGCCACCUGUCUCAGUGGAGCAAGUAGCCUCCGCCCCAGAGCAAUAUCCUGAACCACCUCAAGAGCCCGGCGCAGCUCCUACCUCAGGGCCUGCUGAAGCAUCAGAGCCAGAGGUGAUCGAGCCGGUCUUGGCUGCUGGAGUGGAGUGCUUGCGAGGAGGCGAGAUGGCACCUGCUGAUUCGAAGCCACUGCAGGUGUUGGUCACACCUCUGAUUCACUGUCUGACCCGGAGGAGCCACCUGCACCCUUGGCCCCUCCAAAAGGUGGAGCAGGCCUCAGUGCCCCCUCUUGAGUUCGUCGAAGGGCCGGAUCAGCCACCGGCCUCAGUGGAGCCACCAGCCUCGUCCCCCGAGCAACAGCUCGUGAUGGCUGCAGCACAACUGAAACCUUCCCCUCCCCUCUCGUGUGCUGUUUCUGUAUUUUGUGUUUUUCAUAAGCCUCUAUAAUUGCAUCAUGAGUUUUGUUUGUAAUAAAGGAUGUUAACUUCGUACAAAAA
RNAcentral lists this long non-coding RNA (3267 nucleotides) under Canis lupus familiaris (dog). RNAcentral's name for it is "lncRNA (ENSCAFG00000053889.1)". Lineage: Eukaryota; Metazoa; Chordata; Mammalia; Carnivora; Canidae. The record is from RNAcentral.